RNAcentral lists this ribosomal RNA (729 nucleotides) under Triticum aestivum (bread wheat). RNAcentral's name for it is "partial small subunit ribosomal RNA". Lineage: Eukaryota; Viridiplantae; Streptophyta; Magnoliopsida; Poales; Poaceae. The record is from RNAcentral.
GAUUUGGUAGCACUUGCGAGGGUUGCCGAGUCAAGUUCUGCAUUUCUUUCUGAAACUAGGCAAGCAGAAAAAGUCCGCCGUCUUCGUGGUAGAUUAGGUUUGAAUGGUUUUGUUGGUGUGGACAGUGAUGGCCUCAGUGGAGGCUUGGGUUUGUUUUGGAAUGAUCAGCUACAUGUAGAAAUAAAAGAUGCAAAUGAAAGAUAUAUUGAUGCUUAUGUUCGUCUAUCUGACAAUGCACCUCUUUGGCGGCUUACGUGUGUCUAUGGGGAACCACGGUCUGAAAAUAGGCACCACAUGUGGUCACUCAUGCAAAAGCUUAAAACACAGUCAGAACUCCCUUGGUGUGUUCUUGGUGAUUUUAAUGAGGCCCUUUGGUCGUUUGAGCACUUCUCGGCCUCUCAGAGGAGUGAAAGUCAGAUGCUAGCCUUCCGUGAUACUCUGGAAUUAUGUGAACUUAUUGAUCUUGGGUUCUCAGGUCUACCUUUCACUUGUGAUAAUAAACGCAGAGGAAGAAGAGAUGUAAAAGUACGGUUGGACAGGGCAGCUGCAGAUAACAAAUGGAGAGACAUCUUCUCUGAAUCUAGGGUGGUCCACCAAGUAUCCCCAUGUUCUGAUCACUCACCUAUAGUGUUGCAUUGUGAGGCAGAAGUGGUGCAGCAAAGAAAGAAAAGCCAGCGUCGUUAUGAAGUUAUGUGGGAACGAGAUCCUAGCCUGGCUGAGCGUAUCUAG